UACCUUUGAUGAGUAUGAAGUGCCCCUCC
RNAcentral lists this non-coding RNA (29 nucleotides) under Mus musculus (house mouse). Lineage: Eukaryota; Metazoa; Chordata; Mammalia; Rodentia; Muridae. The record is from RNAcentral.